Molecule: ribosomal RNA, 253 nt
Filed under: uncultured bacterium
Lineage: Bacteria
Description: partial 16S ribosomal RNA
Rfam family: Bacterial small subunit ribosomal RNA
Source: RNAcentral
UACGGGGGGGGCAAGCGUUGUUCGGAAUUACUGGGCGUAAAGGGCGCGUAGGCGGCCUGCUAAGUCGGACGUGAAAUCCCUCAGCUUAACUGGGGAACUGCGUCCGAUACUGGAUGGCUCGAGUUUGGGAGAGGGAUGCGGAAUUCCAGGUGUAGCGGUGAAAUGCGUAGAUAUCUGGAGGAACACCGGUGGCGAAGGCGGCACCCUGGACCAACACUGACACUGAGGAGCGAAAGCCAGGGGAGCAAACGGG